UACGUAGGGACCAAGCGUUGUUCGGAUUUACUGGGCGUAAAGGGCGCGUAGGCGGCGCUGUAAGUCACUUAUGAAAUCUCCGGGCUUAACUCGGAACGGUCAAGUGAUACUGCAGUGCUAGAGUGCGGAAGGGGCAAUCGGAAUUCUUGGUGUAGCGGUGAAAUGCGUAGAUAUCAAGAGGAACACCUGAGGUGAAGACGGGUUGCUGGGCCGACACUGACGCUGACAGCGCGAAAGCCAGGGGAGCAAACGGG
RNAcentral lists this ribosomal RNA (254 nucleotides) under uncultured bacterium. RNAcentral's name for it is "partial 16S ribosomal RNA". It matches the Rfam family "Bacterial small subunit ribosomal RNA", at positions 524 to 776 of the family's 1533-position model. The record is from RNAcentral.